GCCUCCGUGGUCCAGUGGUUGAGCGUUAGUCUCGCGAUCCAGAGGUCCCGGGUUCGAAUCCCGGUGGGGACA
This 72-nucleotide transfer RNA is filed under the name Pectinophora gossypiella (pink bollworm). RNAcentral's name for it is "transfer RNA alanine (anticodon CGC)". It matches the Rfam family "tRNA". Rfam says of the family: Transfer RNA (tRNA) molecules are approximately 80 nucleotides in length. Their secondary structure includes four short double-helical elements and three loops (D, anti-codon, and T loops). Lineage: Eukaryota; Metazoa; Arthropoda; Insecta; Lepidoptera; Gelechiidae. The record is from RNAcentral.